Molecule: non-coding RNA, 104 nt
Organism: Rhodocollybia butyracea
Lineage: Eukaryota; Fungi; Basidiomycota; Agaricomycetes; Agaricales; Omphalotaceae
Source: the annotation of a GenBank genome assembly
GGGCGUAUGGUCUAGAGGUUGAUACCUGCUUUGGGUUCAAUGGGCGCAGCAGGCGUAUUUGAUUAUCCACCAGGGGGUCUUUGGUUCGAAUCCAAAUUCGCCCU